CCUACGGGUGACAGCAGUGAGGAAUAUUGGUCAAUGGACGAGAGUCUGAACCAGCCAAGUAGCGUGAAGGAUGACUGCCCUAUGGGUUGUAAACUUCUUUUAUAUGGGAAUAAAAUGUUCCACGUGUGGGAUUUUGUAUGUACCAUAUGAAUAAGGAUCGGCUAACUCCGUGCCAGCAGCCGCGGUAAUACGGAGGAUCCGAGCGUUAUCCGGAUUUAUUGGGUUUAAAGGGCGCGUAGGUGGAUUGUUAAGUCAGUUGUGAAAGUUUGCGGCUCAACCGUAAAAUUGCAGUUGAAACUGGCAGUCUUGAGUACAGUAGAGGUGGGCGGAAUGCGUGGUGUAGCGGUGAAAUGCUUAGAUAUCACGAAGAACUCCGAUUGCGAAGGCAGUUCACUGGACUGCAACUGACACUGAGGCUCGAAAGUGUGGGUAUCAAACAGGAUUAGAUACCCGAGUAGUC
This 460-nucleotide ribosomal RNA is filed under the name uncultured bacterium. RNAcentral describes it as "partial 16S ribosomal RNA". It matches the Rfam family "Bacterial small subunit ribosomal RNA", at positions 338 to 795 of the family's 1533-position model. The record is from RNAcentral.